RNAcentral lists this long non-coding RNA (9551 nucleotides) under Lathyrus oleraceus (garden pea). RNAcentral's name for it is "Pisum sativum (pea) long non-coding RNA (PSAT_LNC010798)". The record is from RNAcentral. Lineage: Eukaryota; Viridiplantae; Streptophyta; Magnoliopsida; Fabales; Fabaceae.
UGAUCUAUUGAUCAACCAUAGAUAGGUUUGAAACAUUGAAGAUUUAAUCAACUCUAAACAACCAUGGUCAUGAUCUAAUAGACCUCAUCAACCAAACAAAUACAACAACAAGUCCAUAAUAAAAGAAAAUGAUAACACACACAAAGCAACCACAAAAAGGUGAAAAAGAUAGUAAGAGUAAAAAAUCUUUAAAAAGGUGAGUAAACCAAAGUCAAUCAUUUUUGGCAAAGCUUUGAGUAUUAAACCAUCUCAAAAGACCAACCAAGAACAAGCAACCAUUUUUAAUCAAAAAAAAGAAACAAAAAGUUAAAAAGUUUAAGUUAAAAUCAUUACCCACAAAAUGUGAAAAAAGCUAGGUAGAAAUGGUGUUGAACUUGAAUGUGAAGCAAGGGGUAUGGGAUGAAAAUAUUUGUGGUGAAAGCUUAGUAAAGGGGUUGGGUUAUGAGUGUUAGAGAGUGAUAAAUUUUGAGGAAAAAAUGUGAAAUGGAAAAAAAAGUUGGUGGUGGUGAGUUUUGGGAGGGAAAAGGUUUUUUUGGUUUUGAUUUAGGUUUGGAGAAGAGGGGUUGGAUGAUAUUUUUUCAGAAUUUUUAGGGGCUAGAAAGCAUGAAAAAUGAAGGGGGAAUAGUGCAUCUAUUUAUAGGGAAAGCAAGUGAGAAAAUGGGGGGAACCAAAUACCCAAAAAAAGCUUAUUUUUGGAGUCUGCACAGGGCAAAUCGAUUUCCCUAGUUAGGUAAAUCGAUUUCCCUAUUUUUUUUUAAAUUUAUUCCUUUAGCCCAUGUAAUAUGCCUUUGGUUAUGAAAGUUCAAUGAAAUUAUGAUGAUGAAAUAAUGAAAGCACACAUGUGCAGUAGGGCCAUGGAUCAGAUGAAAGUUGUAUCGGAGUAGGGUGAAUUUUGGGGUAUGACAGCUGCCCCUAUUUAAUCUUCUCGAACCUAAAUGUUUAGAUAGCAACGACUUCCAUACAUCGAAAGUAAGAGAGGAUUAAAUAAAUAAAAAUAUCCAGAAAUUUACCCUACUGGGAAUGAAAUGAAUGUGAUAUGAAGUGAUGGGUAUUUGUGAAGAUUGUUCAUGCGAUGGAAAAUAAAUUUGAUAUGAAAUUAUCUAUUGAGGAUAGUUUAUGGUAUUAUGUGGGGAGGACACGGGUCGGCUGUAUGAUGGUUAUGUCAUGAUGCGUAUGAUAUGCAAUGUAUGUUAUGGUGUGUAACAUAAGUAUCUCUUCAACUGGAAAACAAAGAGAAAAGCUUCAUGACAAAAGGUCAAGAAGAAAGAUGAGAGGGAAUAUGACUUCGUUGGGGAUAAAGGAAAACAAAGAGAAAAGCUUCAUGACAAAAGGUCAAGAAGAAAGAUGAGAGGGAAUAUGACUUCGUUGGGGAUAAGUUUCUUAUGUAAAAGAUAGUGAAAAUCCCUAACAACGGCUGAGAAGAUUUAAGUUCAGUGACGCUUCCUAGCAACAGCUGGAAUACCUGAAAUCUAAAGAUAUAAAUCCCUAACAACGGUUUGGGAGAUUUGAUUUUUGAAAGUGUCAAUCCCUAGCAAUGGCUGGGAAGAUUUGAAUUUGAAAAGUAUCAAUCCCUAGCAACGGCUGGGAAGGUUUGAGUUUGAAAAGUGUCAAUCCCUAGCAACGGCUGGGAAGGUUUGACUUUUGAAAGUGUUCAAAAGGCACAAGAGUACUUGUAAAAGGCAGGUGAAUAGAUAUGGUGGUUAUCAUACACAAGGUAGAGGAAAAUUUACGGUAGGCACGAAAAACUCAUUAUAUCCCUCAGGCACAACGGCAGGGAUGACAUUUUCGAAAUAUGGCUACCACUUGGGACUUGUCAAACCUACAUCAGGUGUUUUAAGACAAACGUUUAAGAGAAUAGGUCAAUCGUCCAAUCUCUCAUUUUUGGGUAACAUGCAAAGUUGAUAAAGGUAAACUCUCUCGUGCAAAAGGCAACAAGGAGGCUUGCAAAAAAGGCAAAACAGGGUUUUCCCUUGCAAAAAAGCAGAGGGGUCUCGCAAAAGGUGAGGUACUGAAAAAAGGGCCAACAAUAUUUGCAAAAGGCAAAUAAAAAGAGAUAUUUUGGGGAAACCUGUUGGGGUUGUUCACGGGGACCCCUUGCACUUUCGAGAAAGGCUUGAAUCCAACUUAUGCUAAACAUACUUGCCCCAAUAUGAAGAGUAUGUUAUGAUGCAAUGUUAUGCAUGUAAAAUGUCGAUGUAUGCAAAAAGUCGGUGUCUUCGUCAAAGGAUUGACGGAAAGGUAAUUUGUCUUCGUCAAAGGAUUGACGGGAAAGAAUUUGUCUUCGUCAAAGGAUUGACAGAAAAGAAUUUGUCUUCGUCAAAGGGUUGACGGAAAAGAAUUUGUCUUCGUCAAAGGGUUGACGGAAAAGAAUUUGUCAUCGUCAAAGGGUUGAUGGAAAAGAAUUUGUCUUCGUCAAAGGGUUGACGGAAAAGAAUUUGUCUUUGUCAAAGGUUGACAGAAAGCUAAUUUGUCUUCGUCAAAGGGUUGACGGAAAGGUAAUUUAUCUUCGUCAAAGGGUUGACGGAAAGAAACUGUUGUAAAAUGUCGUCAUCAGAGGGCUGAGGAAAAAAGUUUGUCAUCGUCAAAGGGUUGACGGAAAAGGUAAUUUGUCUUCGUCAAAGGGUUGACGGAAAGGUAAUUUGUCUUUGUCAAAGGGUUGACGGAAAGGUAAUUUGUCUUUGUCAAAGGGUUGACAGAAAAGAAUUUGUCUUUGUCAAAGGGUUGACUGAAAAGAAUUUGUCUUCGUCAAAGGAUUGACGGAAAGGGACUUUACUAUGAAGUGGCAUCAUCAAAGGGUUGAUGGGAAGGAUUUAUUAUGUUAUGUAUGCAUAUGGUGCAUGUUAAUGAGAAUUUCUCAUUUUUGUGAGAGAGCUUUUUGAUAUGCAACUCCCUUAUUUGGAAGGAAAGUCAUGUGUGUUUAAUGUAUGCAGUGCAUGUGGUAAUGCAAGAUGAAUAUUGAUUGUCUUUGGAUUGAUCUCUCUUUUUGAAGGUGAGAUUUUUUGGGUACCAAAUGUCGGUUGAAUUUGAGUUUAUGAAGAUGCCAGCGAAGUGGGCUUUUAUUUCUAGUGAUGGCUAAUAUGGAGUGGGCUUUCGGUUUUGGAGAUGCCAAUAGCGAUUGGGCUUUAUGGUCAAUGAUUCUCUAAACAAAAACCCCCACGGUUAUUGCUUUAGGCUUUAUGGUUAAUGAUAGAGAUUUGUUUUGGGAGGUGCCAAUAACGAUUGCGCUUUAUGGUUAAUGGUAGAGAUUUAUUUUGGGAGGUGUCAAUAACGAUUGGGCUUUAUAGAGAUUUGUUUUGGGAGGUGCCAAUAGAGAUUGGGCUUUAUUUUUGGAAGGCAUCAAGUGAGGCUUGGCUUCAUUAUCCUUGUUGGGGAAGGGCUUCAUGUUAUACAUGAUGCAUGAUAUGUAUGAGCGAAGCGACAGGGUUGGUGCAUAGUGAUUGAUGCAAUUGUUUUGGAUAGUUCAACAAAUGUCCUUGAGGUGGGUCAAGAAUGGUUGAAACUGGGAAAUAUUUUUGCUUAGCUUUAAGGCUCGUUGUUGACAAGUUAUGGGAUGAUGUGUUUACACAACUUCCCGACAUUUUCUUUGAACUUGGCUGAUGUAGUGAGCUUGGUCUGGAUAUUCUGAUACCACAUGCUUGAUCUGAGCAAGAAAAUCCAAAAUAUAAGGAAACGUUUCCUCUCCAUGGCCAGUCCUUCCCCAAUCUGUUAGGUAUCUACAUGGAUUUCCCCAGUUACAAGUUAUGAAGCAAAUCAUGGGUAGAGUGAUCUUGAUCUGAUACGCCCCAGCGUCUUGGGUCUGCCUACCCCUAUUCAUCCAUCUCUUGGAGUGUUUUGACUUUCUCAUGCUUUUGAGGUGGUCUUCCCUGGUAUGAAACCUUGAAUUGAUUUUUCCCCUGACUGGUUGAUUUUUGAGGGAAUGCCCCUGGCCAACUGCCUUUGGAGAGAUUUGCCUAAUCUCGACGUGAUUGCCCCAAACUGACUAGAUCUUGAAGUGGCUUGCUCAACGGAGUUCUCAGAUACCUUUCCCUCCUUGGUGAGAUCAAUCUAAGGGGAUGAUCUUUGCUCAUCUGAGUCCUCAUGAAUUUUGCCUCUUUUGGGUGACCAAAACUUCUCGAGUCAUGUUCAUUAUGAAAACGCUUUUGAUGUCAAUGCCCAUUCACAAGUAAAACUAUUUAUGCUAAUGUUAUGUUUAUGGUAGUUUUAGAAAUCCAAGUAUGUCCACUGAAAAGAUGACAUAUAGUGAAUGGAUCACUAGUUACAAAAGUCAUACUGAUACUUAGCAAAACGAAAAGGAGUCAGUUUCAACACAAGCUCUAAUGCAAUAUGCUUUCGAAAUGGACCUUGCUUCAAUUAGGUCUUUUGAGGGUUGUAAUGUGGGAUGGUUCAUGGUUUAAGAAACAAAGGAUUUAUAGCUCAAAGAUUUAUUUAUCCCACCCAUUCUUCUUGAUACCCUUCAGUCCUACAUUCAACUAGUUUGACACAGAUGUCUGUCUCUUAGAAUGAUGGGAGUGGUAGUAAGAGAACCCACAAGGUUUUGGGAGUGACAGUCACUUGCCUUCCUAUUUUUGUGUUUGCAGUCACACGACUUUGUUCUGGCUGAGGAUUUUUGUUUUUGAUUCCUCUUCUGCUUUUUUUGUUUUUCGACUUCCCUAAUUUUGCCUGGACUAUUUUUUUUUUCUUACAGUCCAUCAGGAUACCCUAAUUUUUGCCUAAGCCACUUGUUUUCAAGUUUCGACUUAGCGGGAUUUUUCUCUCUCUUUGAGUUUUUUUUGGAACAAAUCGUGUGACGUUUGUUUAUUUGGUUUUAAAGGAUUUGUGACUGUCUCACUUUUUGUGUUGGCGAGGGACAACCAUUGGAUUUGUGAUUUUGACCUCUCGUGAGGGAAACUAUGUGGUUAUCCUUUAGACAAGACACUCCCUAGGAUGUGGUUGAUACUCAAAUGGGAUACUCCCUAUUUUUUCUUUUUAAGAAUUGAACGUGUGGUUAAAUUAGCUGAAGACUACCCUGCCCCGGGUUUAAGAUGUGAGUUUUUUUUUUGCUUUAAAGAAAACUCCUACUUCUAGGCUCAAAGGGGUUGACUAGGGAUUAUCAUCCUUAUACCUCCACUGUUUGGGGAUUUGAAGCAAUGCCUUACAUCAUCAGCAAGGUGUUUAUUCAAAAGCAGUACAUUGCAAUGAGGAUUUGUACCUGUAAUAUUCAUCAUUCUCCCUCUAAAGUUUCGUUUAUUAACAAAAGUAAGAUAAGAGUGAACAAAUUGUAUUGACUGAAACAUGCCAAUAUUAUUCAUUGUUGCAAAGAGACAAUUUUUAAGAGUGAAUAUUACAGACAAGCAAAGAAAGUUCCACAUGAAAAAACAAAUGAAAUGAUCACAUAAUUGUUGGCGUGUUAGCCUUGUUUUCAACCGUAGACCGGUGUCGAUCGAUGCUUGUAGAACUUAGGUAUGAUAGUCCCACAAGGACGGUUUAUUUUCAACUUCUUGUUCCUCAUCCAUUAGCAACUGGUAGUUGGCAUUGCAGAAGUGCCUUCACGUGGCAGCAUGAAGUUGCUUAGUAUAUCCAUGUCCGUUUGGUUGAACGCAGUAGCCUUUGAAAUGAAUCAGUUCUGAAACCUUUGUUUGAAGGCCUUACAAAUCUCGAUCGAGUGUCCGGUGCCUCCUGAGUGGAACUCACACCUAGCAUUCAUGUCGUAGUUCAAGGGAAGAGAUGUUGGAGGAGGUCCUAGUACCCUUAACUUCACCAAUGAUCUGUUGAGCAAAAGAGGGAGAAUUCGACCAUACGACAUGGGAAUCAGGUCAAACUGUUUUUCUGACCUCUUUGAUUUUCUCUGGCCUUUUUUAGCAUAAGAGUUUUGCCUUCCACUUGAGUACCAAUUCUGAUUCUGCAUUUGGUUCCCCAGAGCUAGCUAAGGAAUAAACACUGGUUGUUGAUUAAGAAACCUUAGCAGUUCGGGUUGGGGACGGUAUCCCUGAGGCAACUCAUGAUGUAAGGUGGAGCCGGACAGAGGCAUAUGGGAGACCAUUUCCAUCCUGGAGGUUGGUGUGGGAUUUCCUUCCUUUUUCAAUAGUGUUUGCAAGAUUUCUGUAACCAAGCUCAUCUGAGUCUUUAGUUGGCUGAUCUCUUCCUUCAAUGCAGCUUGGCCUUGUUGGAGUUCUUCCACAAUGGCUUGAGACAUGCUUCUAGUUCUAAGCAUACAUCGGGAAAUCAGCUAGUGGGGUAAAAACAGAAGGUGGUAUAAGGUUUUUCUUAUGAGAUGCAAAUGAUGCAUGAAUGCGAUGUUUAUUUAUGAAUGAAUGGGUGAGAAGAUUUCCACAGGUUUUUAGGAAUGGGUUCAAGGUUUUGGACCAUCGUGACGAAGCAUGGAGUUAAUAAUGAAUGCUUAGUAAACCAAGGUUCUCGCUUUGUGUGAUCUAAGGCUUUUGGAAAAUUGGGUGUAAGACACUGCCCUUAGAGUCAUGGACUUCCUUGACUGUCAGUCGCUUAUGUCAAUUUACUUGCCAGGCGACUGCUCCAUCAAAGUCAUCUACUCUAAGUGAGAUCUUCGUAUCGACUCUUACAAGGAAGGCACCUCGGUGGCCUAUACUACGUGACCAUCGGUCUAGGCUAGCCAUAGUUUUAAAAGGUUCUAAAAGGGGUCUUAGGGUCAUUGACUCUAGUAAAAUAAAAGAUGCUUACGCCGAAAGCACGACGAUCAUCAAUCCCCUUAAGAGAAUCUACCACUAAGUGAGGUUCUCGUACGACCCUAACGAGGAAGGAACCUCGCGGAUCAAUACUACUCAACCUCUCAUAUCUCAAGCAAGCUCUCAGACUCGGGUGGAGAGUCCUUCACACAAGGUUUUUUCCUUUGCAAUCAUUAUUGCUUCCAAAAAUUCUUCGCCACAGAACCAGAGUUUCGGACCAACAGGCAAACAAAGAAAAUACGCACAGGUUAGCAAAGAAAGCAAUAUAUACAUAAAAAAUAGAUAACAAAUAAAUCUCCACGUACGUAAAAGAGGAACAACCCAAACUAGGCUAGACUUGCUUAGGGAAUUUUGGUCUCCCCAGCAGAGUCGCCAGUUGUUGCUACCGGGAUUUCACGAUAACGAAAUCGGGACUAAAGAUAAUGCCAAAGGGAGGCAAAGUCAGAAGAGUCGCCACCGAAUUUUAUUUAGUUUACCUCUAUCAGAGAGGAGAGGGGAAAUAGUCUAUAAAACCCUCGGAAAAGAGACGCGCACGGGAAGCGCUAAAAGAGAAUAAGGAAUCGGUCUCGCAACCGAGAUUUGGGUUCGGAAGUCGGUUACGUAAGAGGAAGGUAUUAGCACCCCUUACGUCCAUGGUACUCCAUGGGAACCAUUUGGGUUGUUUUUAAAUACAUGGGAUUUAUCUAUUAUUAUUUUAUUUUCAAAUGAAUGUGUGAAAAGAGGGGGCGUUUUUGUUAUUAUAGUGCUCGCCAAGGAUUGAGGCCCUUGUGCCUACGUAUCACUCAUUUGGGGAUGAGGAAUCAGAGCUCCAUAGUUCGGAGUAGAAAAUGUUUGUGUGUUGGUUGAUUUUACCUUUGAAAAAAGGGUUUUCGGGAUGAUGCCCUAAGGCACAAAAAUGAGAUUGAUGAGUUGCAUUAUUUUUACCUUGAAUAAGGGUUUUAUGAAAUGAGUGUUUGUGAUUAUAUUGUACUAAAGUCUAUGGGCGGAGGUGAUUAUUCUAGACAACAAGCCAAGUGUCUUGCGUCCAAAAUAAUCAGAGUAAAGGUAGGAAUGCUUCAUUCUCACUCAUUAUCCACCACUUAAGGCUCAUGGCGAACAAUAAUAAUCGUAAUUAUUAAGUAUUUUUGAGUUUGGCUAAGAAAAUGCCACUUGACGUUGAAUCAAGGGUUUAUUUUAUUUUGAUUAUGCAAUUUGACUUAUGCAACAUGAAUGCAAAGUAACCAACAGGAAAUUAAAGAGUCUCAUUGUAAGGUAGCCCAAGAGAAAGCCUUUUGUGUGCAAAAGUGAUCUAAGCUAAACAAAGGACAAUGGUCUUACAAACAUGUCCCCCUAAGGUGGUGCCAUGAUGCCAUUCUUACAACAUGAAUGUAAGUUUCAAAUAAAAUCCAACAUUUACAAAGUAUCACAAAGAUAAGGGAAAGACCUCCAAGCAAGGGUCCUAAAAUGAAAUCCUCUAAGUUCCAGUUGGAUAGAGUGGAAUAAAUAUUUUUGUUCUUAUUCAUUUUAGGUCAUGUUUUUGUUGUUUUUCAAGGUAUUUGAUGAUAAUAAAAUUAAUAAUAAGUAAAUAAACAUGCAUGAUGGAAUUUGUACAAUGGUGAGUGAGAGUACUUUAAUGUAAAAUUACAAGGUAGAUGACAUAAAGUAAAUUACAGAUAAGAAACAAUAUUCACAACUAAUAAUGGUUAUGUGAAUAUAAAUGAUAUAAACAAAUAUAAGUCAAUAAUACCAAAUCACAAUACCAAAGUUAAUGAUAAACAAAAAUUAAUGAAGUAUAAUUAGUGGUUAGUAACAUGUUACAGAAAUGAAUAUUUUUUAAGACUAUUUUCUUAGGCCAAAAAGACUUAAAAUCAGGACACAUUAAGGAUUUAGCUUAUCAUUGUGUGCAAGUACUUGAGUUGAUUAAAAAUCAACUAACAAUAGAUUUGUAAGCAAGAGAAAGGUAUGCAAACCUUAAGUCCAUCUAUAAUAAUUUUAAAAAAAGUGAUUUCUGUUCUCUUUCUUUUGAUUUUAUUCCUCUUUUAUUUAACAAGGAUAAUAAGCGUAGUAAUAAAUUAGCAUAAUGUAAAGGUAUGUUAAAUAACAAUAAACAUUGAAACAUGAAAAAUACUGGAAAUAAAGUGAACAAUAAAUAAAUUGCACAAAAUAAAUGCCAAUAAUAUAAAUGUUUAGAAGUUAGUAGGUUAGGUGAAUAAACAUAAGUAAAUGAAAUAAAAUGAACAAUAAAUAAAUUGUAAAAAAUAAAAUAAAGUGCAAAAUAUAAAUUGUUAGGAGUUAGUAAUUAGGUAUUUAUUAACAAUAAGCAAAUGUAUUAGCAAUUAACUGUAAAGACCACUGUUUCAUCUAUACUUCAAAUGACGCCAAAUAUGGUUAAAUAGAGGCAAUAUAUAAAUGCCUCAAAGUGUCAUGAAUGCAUCUAUUGAAUCACCAUAGAUAGGUUUGAAACAUUGAAGAUUUAAUCAACUCUAAACAACCAUGGUCAUGAUCUAAUAGACCUCAUCAACCAAACAAAUACAACAACAAGUCCAUAAUAAAAGAAAAUGAUAACACACAUAAAGCAACCACAAAAAGGUGAAAAAAGAUAGUAAGAGUAAAAAAUCUUUAAAAAAGGUGAGUAAACCAAAGUCAAUCAUUUUUUGCAAGCUUGAAUCUAAACCAUCUAAAAAGACCAAGAACAAGCAACCAUUUUUAAUCAAAAAAAAGAAACAAAAAGUUAAAAAGUUUAAGUUAAAAUCAUUACCCACAAAAUGUGAAAAAAAAACUAGGUAGAAAUGGUGUUGAGCUUGAAUGUGAAGCAAGGGGUUUGGGAUGAAAAUAUUUGUGGUGAAAGCUUAGUAAAGGGGUUGGGUUAUGAGUGUUAGAGAGUGAUAAAUUUUG